GACGAACGCUGGCGGCGUGCUUAACACAUGCAAGUCGUACGGUAAGGCCCUUCGGGGUACACGAGUGGCGAACGGGAGAGUAACACGUGGGUGAUCUGCCCUGCACUUCGGGAUAAGCCUGGGAAACUGGGUCUAAUACCGGAUAGGACCACUGCCUGCAUGGGUGGUGGUGGAAAGCUUUUGCGGUGUGGGAUGGGCCCGCGGCCUAUCAGCUUGUUGGUGGGGUGAUGGCCUACCAAGGCGACGACGGGUAGCCGGCCUGAGAGGGUGACCGGCCACACUGGGACUGAGAUACGGCCCAGACUCCUACGGGAGGCAGCAGUGGGGAAUAUUGCACAAUGGGCGCAAGCCUGAUGCAGCGACGCCGCGUGAGGGAUGACGGCCUUCGGGUUGUAAACCUCUUUCAGCACCGACGAAGCGCAAGUGACGGUAGGUGCAGAAGAAGGACCGGCCAACUACGUGCCAGCCGCCGCAGUAA
Molecule: ribosomal RNA, 478 nt
Filed under: uncultured bacterium
Lineage: Bacteria
Description: partial 16S ribosomal RNA
Rfam family: Bacterial small subunit ribosomal RNA
Source: RNAcentral